This is a long non-coding RNA of Bufo bufo (common toad), 269 nucleotides long. RefSeq lists it as uncharacterized. The transcript has 3 exons. NCBI's taxonomy places the organism in Eukaryota, Metazoa, Chordata, Amphibia, Anura, Bufonidae. The record is from RefSeq and is a predicted model, not a curated record.
UUGAUUUAGGUUUGACCAUGAACCGCCUAUGUAACAACGAUCACUGUAAAGAGAUCUUCUCUAUGAUAGGCAUGGUAGGCGAGUGGGUGGGAUUUGUUGGCCUGCUAAUAUUCCCGAUUAUGUACUAUACAGAUUUCCAGCAUUUGUCAUUAAUGUUGUCCAGAGAAGGCGUCUCCAUCAUUCUGAGGCAAAAGACCCAGGACCCAGAAAACCCCCAAUAAAAUAUAAAGUUAAGAACCAGGGGCAGAGCGCCAGGAAGACAACUAAAU